UUUAUGGAGAGUUUGAUCCUGGCUCAGGAUGAACGCUGGCGGCGUGCCUAAUACAUGCAAGUCGAGCGAACGGACGAGAAGCUUGCUUCUCUGAUGUUAGCGGCGGACGGGUGAGUAACACGUGGAUAACCUACCUAUAAGACUGGGAUAACUUCGGGAAACCGGAGCUAAUACCGGAUAAUAUUUUGAACCGCAUGGUUCAAAAGUGAAAGACGGUCUUGCUGUCACUUAUAGAUGGAUCCGCGCUGCAUUAGCUAGUUGGUAAGGUAACGGCUUACCAAGGCAACGAUGCAUAGCCGACCUGAGAGGGUGAUCGGCCACACUGGAACUGAGACACGGUCCAGACUCCUACGGGAGGCAGCAGUAGGGAAUCUUCCGCAAUGGGCGAAAGCCUGACGGAGCAACGCCGCGUGAGUGAUGAAGGUCUUCGGAUCGUAAAACUCUGUUAUUAGGGAAGAACAUAUGUGUAAGUAACUGUGCACAUCUUGACGGUACCUAAUCAGAAAGCCACGGCUAACUACGUGCCAGCAGCCGCGGUAAUACGUAGGUGGCAAGCGUUAUCCGGAAUUAUUGGGCGUAAAGCGCGCGUAGGCGGUUUUUUAAGUCUGAUGUGAAAGCCCACGGCUCAACCGUGGAGGGUCAUUGGAAACUGGAAAACUUGAGUGCAGAAGAGGAAAGUGGAAUUCCAUGUGUAGCGGUGAAAUGCGCAGAGAUAUGGAGGAACACCAGUGGCGAAGGCGACUUUCUGGUCUGUAACUGACGCUGAUGUGCGAAAGCGUGGGGAUCAAACAGGAUUAGAUACCCUGGUAGUCCACGCCGUAAACGAUGAGUGCUAAGUGUUAGGGGGUUUCCGCCCCUUAGUGCUGCAGCUAACGCAUUAAGCACUCCGCCUGGGGAGUACGACCGCAAGGUUGAAACUCAAAGGAAUUGACGGGGACCCGCACAAGCGGUGGAGCAUGUGGUUUAAUUCGAAGCAACGCGAAGAACCUUACCAAAUCUUGACAUCCUUUGACAACUCUAGAGAUAGAGCCUUCCCCUUCGGGGGACAAAGUGACAGGUGGUGCAUGGUUGUCGUCAGCUCGUGUCGUGAGAUGUUGGGUUAAGUCCCGCAACGAGCGCAACCCUUAAGCUUAGUUGCCAUCAUUAAGUUGGGCACUCUAAGUUGACUGCCGGUGACAAACCGGAGGAAGGUGGGGAUGACGUCAAAUCAUCAUGCCCCUUAUGAUUUGGGCUACACACGUGCUACAAUGGACAAUACAAAGGGCAGCGAAACCGCGAGGUCAAGCAAAUCCCAUAAAGUUGUUCUCAGUUCGGAUUGUAGUCUGCAACUCGACUACAUGAAGCUGGAAUCGCUAGUAAUCGUAGAUCAGCAUGCUACGGUGAAUACGUUCCCGGGUCUUGUACACACCGCCCGUCACACCACGAGAGUUUGUAACACCCGAAGCCGGUGGAGUAACCUUUUAGGAGCUAGCCGUCGAAGGUGGGACAAAUGAUUGGGGUGAAGUCG
This 1507-nucleotide ribosomal RNA is filed under the name Staphylococcus aureus. RNAcentral's name for it is "partial 16S ribosomal RNA". It matches the Rfam family "Bacterial small subunit ribosomal RNA". Lineage: Bacteria; Bacillati; Bacillota; Bacilli; Caryophanales; Staphylococcaceae. The record is from RNAcentral.